CCUACGGGAGGCAGCAGUGAGGAAUAUUGGUCAAUGGUCGGAAGACUGAACCAGCCAUGCCGCGUGCAGGAAGAAUGCCUUAUGGGUUGUAAACUGCUUUUAUAUGGGAAGAAUAAGGACUACGCGUAGUUUGAUGACGGUACUCUGCGAAUAAGCAUCGGCUAACUCCGUGCCAGCAGCCGCGGUAAUACGGAGGAUGCGAGCGUUAUCCGGAAUCAUUGGGUUUAAAGGGUCCGUAGGCGGGCUAAUAAGUCAGAGGUGAAAGCGCUCAGCUCAACUGAGCAACUGCCUUUGAAACUGUUAGUCUUGAAUGGUUGUGAAGUAGUUGGAAUGUGUAGUGUAGCGGUGAAAUGCUUAGAUAUUACACAGAACACCGAUAGCGAAGGCAUAUUACUAACAAUUAAUUGACGCUGAUGGACGAAAGCGUGGGGAGCGAACAGGAUUAGAUACCCUGGUAGUCCACGCUGUAAACGAUGGAUACUAGCUGUUUGGUUGUAAGACUGAGUGGCUAAGCGAAAGUGAUAAGUAUCCCACCUGGGGAGUACGCACGCAAGUGUGAAACUCAAAGGAAUUGACGG
Molecule: ribosomal RNA, 578 nt
Filed under: uncultured bacterium
Lineage: Bacteria
Description: bacterial SSU rRNA
Rfam family: Bacterial small subunit ribosomal RNA
Source: RNAcentral